UACUUAGUAAAUAAAUUAUAUCAAAAUGGACGGUGGAAAUUGAAUAAUCUUUAAAACUUGAGCGUAGGACUUUUAAAUUCAAGAUCAAGAAUGUUAACUUUAAUUUAUAUAGUUUAAAGUAUUUUCUAUCAAAAUUUGACGAAAUUUAGAUUCUUCUACACCGUUAAACUCCAAACUCGUCAUAAUAGCCAUUGAAAAUUGACAAUUUUGAAAUAGUUUGAUCAUAAAGUAAAUUAUGUCGAAAAAAUAUAAAAUUUUAUUUCUAGAAACUUUAAAUACCCUAGAUCAGUUUUAACGGUGUGGAUCGUUGAUUUGAACGCCCUAAGAUCGAAAACCAACACUAUAGUACCGGAGCUCGAUACUAUAGAUAGUAUAGUAGCCUAGCUCUAUAUAUAUAUAUAUAUUGUGGUUAGGGCUACUGUACUCUUAUGAAUAUAGACCCCUAUAUAUUCAUAAGUUUUGGAUCGUUCGAUGAAGAGAUGUGCGGUUAGGAUGAUGUUUCCGGUUAGGUUAAUAGUGGCCCUUUAGAGUUGAGUGGUUGCUUGGUUCAAUAGUAUGAUCUAACGGAUGGAAAUAAUCAAAGAAGUAGAUUUAAAAGCCUAAAAUGUAUGAAUACAAAAGAACAUAUACUCAUAAGAGUAUAGCAGCCGGACUUUAUAUUCUGUAUAUAUUUAAGAUUUAAUUACAGAAAACCUACUUAUAAAUAUUUCCUUAAUAUUUCAAGUUGUUAAUUUUAGCUCCCCUCGUCAGGAUUCCAUCAUUCUUCUUUAUUUCUUAUAAUUUAUACAGAAAAUACCUUUCAAAAUAAUUAAAAUAUAUUAAAAAAAAAUUUUCUUACCGAAAAAGUAAGGAUAAUUUGAUCAUUUUGCCCUCUCUAUUAACGUCGUACCCUCUAAGAAUAUUUCUCAAUCUUUAAGAAAGAAAAUAUAGAUUUUUUUAAAAUCAGAGAGAAAAAAUUUAAAAAAAAAUAUUUAUAAGAAGAUUUUCUGUAAUUUAGUUUAUA
RNAcentral lists this long non-coding RNA (1003 nucleotides) under Ananas comosus (pineapple). RNAcentral's name for it is "long non-coding RNA (ACOM_LNC040854)". The record is from RNAcentral. Lineage: Eukaryota; Viridiplantae; Streptophyta; Magnoliopsida; Poales; Bromeliaceae.